Molecule: ribosomal RNA, 431 nt
Filed under: uncultured bacterium
Lineage: Bacteria
Description: partial 16S ribosomal RNA
Rfam family: Bacterial small subunit ribosomal RNA
Source: RNAcentral
AACGAACGCUGGCGGCAGGCUUAACACAUGCAAGUCGAACGCCCCGCAAGGGGCGUGGCAGACGGGUGAGUAACGCGUGGGAACAUACCCUUUCCUGCGGAAUAGCUCCGGGAAACUGGAAUUAAUACCGCAUACGCCCUACGGGGGAAAGAUUUAUCGGGGAAGGAUUGGCCCGCGUUGGAUUAGCUAGUUGGUGGGGUAAAGGCCUACCAAGGCGACGAUCCAUAGCUGGUCUGAGAGGAUGAUCAGCCACAUUGGGACUGAGACACGGCCCAAACUCCUACGGGAGGCAGCAGUGGGGAAUAUUGGACAAUGGGCGCAAGCCUGAUCCAGCCAUGCCGCGUGAGUGAUGAAGGCCUUAGGGUUGUAAAGCUCUUUCACCGAUGAAGAUAAUGACGGUAGUCGGAGAAGAAGCCCCGGCUAACUUCGUG